AUAUCAAUAAGCGGAGGAAAAGAAACUAACCAGGAUUCCCCUAGUAACGGCGAGCGAACCGGGAACAGCCCAAGCCGAAAAUCUUUGGUGCUUGCACCCUAGAAUUGUGGUCUAUCGAGGUGGCUUCUGCAGGCGCCGGUGCCCAAGUUCCCUGGAAAGGGGCGUCCGAGUGGGUGAGAACCCCGUCGGCGCCGGGCGGCCUGCUGCACGAAGUGCCUUCGGCGAGUCUUGUUGUUUGGGAAUGCAGCAAAAAGUGGGUGGUAAAUCCCAUCUAAGGCUAAAUACUGGUGGGAGACCGAUAGCGCACAAGUA
RNAcentral lists this ribosomal RNA (312 nucleotides) under uncultured eukaryote. Its description in RNAcentral is "partial large subunit ribosomal RNA". It matches the Rfam family "Eukaryotic large subunit ribosomal RNA", at positions 40 to 350 of the family's 3401-position model. The record is from RNAcentral.